This is a long non-coding RNA of Cyprinus carpio (common carp), 662 nucleotides long. RefSeq lists it as uncharacterized. The record is from RefSeq and is a predicted model, not a curated record. The transcript is spliced from 5 exons. Lineage: Eukaryota; Metazoa; Chordata; Actinopteri; Cypriniformes; Cyprinidae.
UACCUCAAACACCAGUGUGAUCCGGGUCUUCUGCCCUCUGGAGGACACGCAAAAGCAGCACACAUUCACAGCUCAAGCACAGGAAGGAAGAUACGAUUGUGCUGAAGAUUGGAUCGGUGAGCGUCGCUCCUCAGGCUGAUAAUCCACUGCCACGCUCCGUCCUGCGCAAAGACAUCUACCAACGGGCGCUGAAUCUGGGCGUUCUGCGUGACCCGGGGUCAGAGGUCGAGGACCGUCAGUAUCAGAUUGACCUCCAGUGCAUCAAUGUGGGCACGGCUCACUGGGACGACCUGCGGCCGGAGCGCGAAGGCCCGACGAGCGGCUCUCCUGCAGAUGGUGAACGCAGUUCCCAGAAUCCCGCGCUGGAGUGGAACAUGGCCAGCAGCAUCCGCCGGCAGCAGGAGAAGCGAGUGAUCCUGUCUCCGAUCAUCACAGAUUUCUCUGUGCGCAUCACAGCAGCUCUGCUGUAAUACCGGAAGCCUCUGUCAGCGGAUCACGGCCCAGCCGAGGAAGUGGUGGUGUGCGGCCACAGUCUGGAGAUGAACGUGACGUCCAGCCUGGAGCUGUUUCUGAGCGCGGCUCAGGUUCAGUUACUGCAGCGGCUCCUGCAGACCAACCUGAGACUGAUGAGUGUGGACCAAACACAGAGCAGACGUACGGCC